RNAcentral lists this ribosomal RNA (433 nucleotides) under uncultured bacterium. RNAcentral describes it as "partial 16S ribosomal RNA". It matches the Rfam family "Bacterial small subunit ribosomal RNA", at positions 29 to 507 of the family's 1533-position model. The record is from RNAcentral.
AACGAACGCUGGCGGCAUGCCUAACACAUGCAAGUCGAACGAGACCUUCGGGUCUAGUGGCGCACGGGUGCGUAACGCGUGGGAACCUGCCCUUAGGUUCGGAAUAACUCCCCGAAAGGGGUGCUAAUACCGGAUAAUGUCUUCGGACCAAAGAUUUAUCGCCUUUGGAUGGGCCCGCGUUGGAUUAGCUGGUUGGUAGGGUAAAAGCCUACCAAGGCGACGAUCCAUAGCUGGUCUGAGAGGAUGAUCAGCCACACUGGGGCUGAGACACGGCCCAGACUCCUACGGGAGGGAGGAGUGGGGAAUAUUGGACAAUGGGCGAAAGCCUGAUCCAGCAAUGCCGCGUGAGUGAUGAAGGCCUUAGGGUUGUAAAGCUCUUUUACCCGGGAUGAUAAUGACGGUACCGGGAGAAUAAGCUCCGGCUAACUCCGUG